UCCACUGCCAUUUAUUGGCCAGAGCAAGUCACAAGGCCAGCCCAGAUUCAAGGGAUGAUGGAAUGGACUCCACUUCUUCAUGGAGGAACAGCAAAGUCACAUUGCAAGUGGAUGUGCAUACAUGGAGUGGUGGAGAAUUGUGGCCAAUUUUGCAAUCUACCAUUUUUGUGGAAAGAGCCAACUCUGCCAACAUCGUAUAUGGACCAGACUUACCAGAGAAUUUAAGGUUUCCACUCCUCAGUUUCAACUAUUCUGAAUUCAGUAUCUCUGUGGUGCAGAAGCCCAGGAAGGGAACAUGUUGGCCUUGACCCUUGGAAACCCCUUUAUUGCUUCUGUAAAGUAGGAGGAUUUACGCCAGUGCAGGCGAUUCCAGAAACGGCAGAGGAGAAUUUUCACCAUAAAUAAUUUUCUGGAAGAAGAUUGAUUCACUAUGGAAUUUAACUCCUGCCAACAAUGGUUGCUCUGGCCUAAAGGCCUUUGAGUUGAAGGAAAUCUACAUUUACUAUUGGUUAUUUAGGCUGCCACCCUGCAAGGGCUUUUGCAAUCAAGAUGUUCUGGAAUUCAGGUCACUGAUGCCAACAGCUCAUAUCCCAUUACCUGAGCCAGACUGAUAAAGUGAUGGAAGAGAGAGCAAGAGGAUGUUACUUCAGCUACUACAGAGGGCAACAAGCGAGAAAAACUGUCCUCCAGAAAACCAGGAGAAACACUCCUAGGAUACUCCCCAAACCAACCUGAACAAAUGUGUUGACUGCAAAGUGACAACAGCAGAGAUCGGCUCUGAAAAUGUGAAAUGAGCAGACUGUGGGGAAAAUUAGCCUUUCUAAGGGCAUAUAAGGCAAGUACCAUACUGUGAGUACAGUGCCAUUUUCAGGCAUCUCAUUACUGAAUUCUGCAGAUUUUAUGAAAACUAGGUACAGGGGAAUUAUGUAUCAGG
Long non-coding RNA from Choloepus didactylus (southern two-toed sloth), 934 nucleotides. RefSeq lists it as uncharacterized. The record is from RefSeq and is a predicted model, not a curated record. Lineage: Eukaryota; Metazoa; Chordata; Mammalia; Pilosa; Megalonychidae. The transcript is spliced from 5 exons.